CGAGUUUGAUCCUGGCUCAGGAUGAACGCUAGCGGCAGGCUUAACACAUGCAAGUCGAGGGGUAUAGUUCUUCGGAACUAGAGACCGGCGCACGGGUGCGUAACGCGUUAUGCAAUCUACCUUCACAAAGGGAUAGCCCAGAGAAAUUUGGAUUAAUACCUUAUAGUAAUACGACUUGGCAUCAAGAUGUAUUUAAAGAUUUUAUCGGUGAAAGAUGAGCAUGCGUCCCAUUAGCUUGUUGGUAAGGUAACGGCUUACCAAGGCAACGAUGGGUAGGGGUCCUGAGAGGGAGAUCCCCCACACUGGUACUGAGACACGGACCAGACUCCUACGGGAGGCAGCAGUGAGGAAUAUUGGACAAUGGGCGCAAGCCUGAUCCAGCCAUGCCGCGUGCAGGAUGACGGUCCUAUGGAUUGUAAACUGCUUUUGUACAGGAAGAAACACUGGUUCGUGAACCAGCUUGACGGUACUGUAAGAAUAAGGAUCGGCUAACUCCGUG
Molecule: ribosomal RNA, 499 nt
Filed under: uncultured bacterium
Lineage: Bacteria
Description: bacterial SSU rRNA
Rfam family: Bacterial small subunit ribosomal RNA
Source: RNAcentral